RNAcentral lists this unclassified non-coding RNA (328 nucleotides) under soil metagenome. RNAcentral's name for it is "partial contains 5.8S ribosomal RNA, internal transcribed spacer 2, and large subunit ribosomal RNA". The stretch from base 1 to 120 matches the Rfam family "5.8S ribosomal RNA", at positions 35 to 154 of the family's 154-position model. The record is from RNAcentral.
GAUGAAGAACGCAGCGAAAUGCGAUAAGUAAUGUGAAUUGCAGAAUUCAGUGAAUCAUCGAAUCUUUGAACGCACAUUGCGCCCCUUGGUAUUCCGAGGGGCAUGCCUGUUCGAGCGUCAUUAUAACCCCUCAAGCUCAGCUUGGUAUUGGGGCCUGCCAUCCUGGCAGCCCUUAAAAUCAGUGGCGGUGCCAUUCGGCUCUAAGCGUAGUAACUCUUCUCGCUAUGGAGUCCUGGUGGAUGCUUGCCAUUAAUCUUUUAACUUCUAUGGUUGACCUCGGAUCAGGUAGGGAUACCCGCUGAACUUAAGCAUAUCAAUAAGCGGAGGA